RNAcentral lists this ribosomal RNA (711 nucleotides) under uncultured fungus. RNAcentral's name for it is "eukaryotic LSU rRNA". It matches the Rfam family "Eukaryotic large subunit ribosomal RNA", at positions 1 to 668 of the family's 3401-position model. Lineage: Eukaryota; Fungi. The record is from RNAcentral.
UUGACCCACCAAAAAAACCUUGACCUCAAAUCGGGUGAGACUACCCGCUGAACUUAAGCAUAUCAAUAAGCGGAGGAAAAGAAACUAACAAGGAUUCCCCUAGUAACUGCGAGUGAAGCGGGAAAAGCUCAAAUUUAAAAUCUGGUGGCCUUUGGCCAUCCGAGUUGUAAUUUAGAGAAGCGUCUUCCGCGCUGGACCGUGCACAAGUCUCCUGGAACGGAGCGUCGUAGAGGGUGAGAAUCCCGUCUUUGGCACGGACGCCCAGUGCUUCUGUGAUGCGCUCUCGAAGAGUCGAGUUGUUUGGGAAUGCAGCUCAAAAUGGGUGGUGAACUCCAUCUAAAGCUAAAUAUUGGCGAGAGACCGAUAGCGAACAAGUACCGUGAGGGAAAGAUGAAAAGCACUUUGGAAAGAGAGUGAAACAGUACGUGAAAUUGUUGAAAGGGAAACGCUUGAAGUCAGUCGCGUCGUCCGAGACUCAGCCUCGCCUCGGCUUGGUGUACUUCUCGGCCGACGGGUCAGCAUCAAUUUCGCCCCUUGGAUAAUGGCCAGGGAAAUGUGACACCUUUACGGGUGUGUUAUAGUCUCUGGUCGCAUGCAAGGGUCGGGAUUGAGGAACUCAGCACGCGCCUUCGGGCGUCGGGGUUCGCCCACGAUACGUGCUUAGGAUGUUGGCGUAAUGGCUUUAAACGACCCGUCUUGAACCACGGACCA